RNAcentral lists this transfer RNA (72 nucleotides) under Cordylochernes scorpioides. Its description in RNAcentral is "tRNA-Glu". The record is from RNAcentral. Lineage: Eukaryota; Metazoa; Arthropoda; Arachnida; Pseudoscorpiones; Chernetidae.
CUCCCACGCCAGGAAUCGAAUUCGGGCCUCCUGGGUGAGAGCCAGGUAUCCUAGCCACUAGACCACGUGGGA